UUUAAUUGCAAUUAUAGUUUUUUUUAUCCAACGUUUAACUGUCCGUUGUAUUUGAAUUUUUUUUUUAUGAUUAGUAUUUUAUUGUUAUUAGAUGAUAAAACAUGAUUAGUAUUUUAUGCGUAUCUUUUUUUUUUAUUUUUUUAUAAAAUUUUCAAAUAAGACGGACAGUCAAAUAUUGGAUAUAGAAACCACAACUACACUUAAA
This is a non-coding RNA of Oryza glumipatula, 205 nucleotides long. Lineage: Eukaryota; Viridiplantae; Streptophyta; Magnoliopsida; Poales; Poaceae. The record is from Rfam.